AUUUGCUGAACACACAUUCUCAUGUCAGCCUACUGCAACUUGCAAGUUGAUGCAACGUAAAAAAAAUCAUGAACACAUGAACGCGCUACCCAACACACACAGCAAGUGAUCGAGAGAGAAAGAAUCAGAAAAUCGGCAUCUUCGAAGGUGCCUCUGCGGUCGUAAGCAGCACAAAAGGCAGAAAAAAAACAAAUUCUCUCUCGCUCACAUGCCGUUCAAAUCGAAUGGAAGAAAAGCUGUGUGCGUUAACAUAGGUAGUCACAAUUUCACCACAUACAUAAGACAUACGUAACACUCGGGAAGAAAACUUCCAAAAAAGUUGGUACAAAAUGAACUACUCGAAAGUCCCAGCCUCUGAUAAAACGUCUGUUUGAGUAGUUUAUGAAGGCAGUGUACUUUUGCCGCCCUGCAUGUAUCUCGUUCCCACUCGAAGAAUGCUUCAUACAUUUUGUAAACAACUGUUUGACAGUUUUUUAGAAAAUUUUGUUUGGGGCUCGACUAAAGGCGAUGAAGUAUUCUUCUGUUCGUGCAAAACGAUUGGUUAUUCUAAAGACAAAUCUUAUGAGGCUGCGAAUGAAUAUCAAACAUAUAAGCCAAUGAAACUAGUUUCAAAGUUCGUUUCGUACUUAUGGUCUGCUUGAUGUGCUAGUUUGCAUGCAAACGCUGCGAUAAAGAAGUUGGAAGCAAUAUGUUCGCCAUGUGUAACCAAGGUGUCCAGGCCAGUUAAUGGAAUCCUUCCGGUUUUGUUCAUGAAUUCGAUUGGUUUCCGAAAUAUGCUUGAAAAAUUUCGUAAUGUGUCGGUGAUUACGACGACAUGAAUGUCGGAGAAGAAGGACGCAAGAAUCUGAUCGAUUGUUUCGAACUGGCACCGGAACCGAAGAGUGACGUUGGUAUCAAAGACGAAGCUAUUGUCAAUGAAACGGAGAGGGACGAGAUUGCGGACGAUGAUCGAUUUCAGGAUGCUGUAGAGUAAAUUUACUAACUUGAGAAAUUACACAUCUUGCUAUUGUGCUUAUACACCAAUAAACAUUAAACCACGGUCCUAAAACUGAAAAUCGUGCACCAUCUGCCCACACAUUAUUUUAUUAUUUGCCAAAUAUUGUUACACACUUAGAAAUUUUCUACUGGAUGAGGUUUGAUAAAAUUUUCAAGAGUUUCAAGACGCACUAUACUGAAAGGAGAUUAUGCG
This is a long non-coding RNA of Wyeomyia smithii (pitcher-plant mosquito), 1189 nucleotides long. RefSeq lists it as uncharacterized. The transcript is spliced from 3 exons. Lineage: Eukaryota; Metazoa; Arthropoda; Insecta; Diptera; Culicidae. The record is from RefSeq and is a predicted model, not a curated record.